GUGCCAGCAGCCGCGGUAAUACAGAGGGUGCAAGCGUUAAUCGGAAUUACUGGGCGUAAAGGGUGCGUAGGUGGUUUUGUAAGUUAGGUGUGAAAGUCCCGGGCUUAACCUGGUGAUUGCGCCUGAUACUGUAAGACUAGAGUACUGUAGAGGAAAGUGGAAUUUCCGGUGUAGCGGUGAAAUGCGUAGAUAUCGGAAGGAACACCAGUGGCGAAGGCGACUUUCUGGACAGUUACUGACACUGAGGCACGAAAGCAUGGGGAGCAAACAGGAUUAGAUACCCCCGUAGUCC
RNAcentral lists this ribosomal RNA (292 nucleotides) under uncultured bacterium. RNAcentral's name for it is "partial 16S ribosomal RNA". It matches the Rfam family "Bacterial small subunit ribosomal RNA", at positions 505 to 796 of the family's 1533-position model. The record is from RNAcentral.